Molecule: ribosomal RNA, 535 nt
Filed under: uncultured Leptospirillum sp.
Lineage: Bacteria; Pseudomonadati; Nitrospirota; Nitrospiria; Nitrospirales; Nitrospiraceae
Description: bacterial SSU rRNA
Rfam family: Bacterial small subunit ribosomal RNA
Source: RNAcentral
GCAGUGAGGAAUAUUGCGCAAUGGGGGCAACCCUGACGCAGCAACGCCGCGUGUGGGAAGAAGGCUUUCGGGUUGUAAACCACUUUUGCCCGGGACGAAAGGGGGGACCUGAAUAAGGUUGCCCGAUGACGGUACCGGGAGAAUAAGCCACGGCUAACUCUGUGCCAGCAGCCGCGGUAAGACAGAGGUGGCAAGCGUUGUUCGGAGUUACUGGGCGUAAAGAGUCUGUAGGUGGUCUGUCAAGUCUUUGGUGAAAGCCCGUGGCUUACCCAUGGGAAUGCCAAAGAGACUGGCAGACUGGAGGCUGGGAGAGGGAAGCGGAAUUUCUGGUGUAGCGGUGAAAUGCGUAGAUAUCAGAAGGAAGCCCGGUGGCGAAGGCGGCUUCCUGGARCAGACCUGACACUGAGAGACGAAAGCGUGGGGAGCAAACAGGAUUAGAUACCCUGGUAGUCCACGCCCUAAACGAUGGGUACUAAGUGUGGGAGGGUUAAACCUCCCGUGCCGCAGCCAACGCAGUAAGUACCCCGCCUGGGGA